Molecule: ribosomal RNA, 254 nt
Filed under: uncultured bacterium
Lineage: Bacteria
Description: partial 16S ribosomal RNA
Rfam family: Bacterial small subunit ribosomal RNA
Source: RNAcentral
UACGUAGGGUGCAGGCGUUAAUCGGAAUCACUGGGCUUAAAGCGCGUGUAGGCGGGUCGUUAAGUGUCCGCGUGAAAUCCCACGGCUCAACCGUGGAACUGCCGGGCAUACUGGCGACCUUGAGGCACUUAGGGGCGAGCGGAACAAAUGGUGGAGCGGUGAAAUGCGUAGAUAUCAUUUGGAACGCCGACGGUGAAAACAGCUCGCUGGGAGUGUCCUGACGCUGAGACGCGAAAGCCAGGGGAGCGAACGGG